Molecule: ribosomal RNA, 253 nt
Filed under: uncultured bacterium
Lineage: Bacteria
Description: partial 16S ribosomal RNA
Rfam family: Bacterial small subunit ribosomal RNA
Source: RNAcentral
UACGUAGGGUGCGAGCGUUGUCCGGAAUUAUUGGGCGUAAAGAGCUCGUAGGCGGUCUGUCGCGUCGAAUGUGAAAACCCGGGGCUCAACUCCGGGCUUGCAUUCGAUACGGGCAGACUAGAGUUCGGUAGGGGAGACUGGAAUUCCUGGUGUAGCGGUGAAAUGCGCAGAUAUCAGGAGGAACACCGGUGGCGAAGGCGGGUCUCUGGGCAGUAACUGACGCUGAGGAGCGAAAGCGUGGGGAGCGAACAGG